This 253-nucleotide ribosomal RNA is filed under the name uncultured bacterium. RNAcentral's name for it is "partial 16S ribosomal RNA". It matches the Rfam family "Bacterial small subunit ribosomal RNA", at positions 524 to 776 of the family's 1533-position model. The record is from RNAcentral.
UACGGAGGAUGCAAGCGUUAUCCGGAUUCAUUGGGUUUAAAGGGUGCAUAGGCGGAAUAAUAAGUCAGUGGUGAAAGCCUGCGGCUUAACCGUAGAAAUGCCAUUGAUACUGUUAUUCUUGAGUAUAGUUGAGGUGGGCGGAAUGUGUAAUGUAGCGGUGAAAUGCUUAGAUAUUACACAGAACACCAAUUGCGAAGGCAGCUCACUAAGCUGUUACUGACGCUGAGGCACGAAAGCGUGGGGAGCAAACAGG